Small RNA from Lachnospiraceae bacterium 10-1, 48 nucleotides. It matches the Rfam family "DUF3800-XI RNA". From Rfam's summary of the family: Actinobacteria, Firmicutes, Proteobacteria, Spirochaetes (1 example). The record is from Rfam. Lineage: Bacteria; Bacillati; Bacillota; Clostridia; Lachnospirales; Lachnospiraceae.
UGGGCUGGUCGAAAGACCCUGGUCCACCGAACGGCGGGGAAUUUCCCC